RNAcentral lists this ribosomal RNA (3133 nucleotides) under Triticum aestivum (bread wheat). Its description in RNAcentral is "partial small subunit ribosomal RNA". Lineage: Eukaryota; Viridiplantae; Streptophyta; Magnoliopsida; Poales; Poaceae. The record is from RNAcentral.
CCAGAGCAUUCCCGGUGCUCUGCUCCUCCCACCCGUGUCCGCGUCCUCUGCGGGAAGCUUUUGGAAGCUUCAAGGCAUGAGGAGCAGUAGAGUCCGCGGAGGAGGCGGUGGUGGUGGUGGCGGAGAGGCCGCCGCCUUCCUCGCCGCGCUGCUGUGCGGCCUCCUGCUCUUGCUCGGCGCCGCCGACGCGCAGGGCAUCCGGCGCCCCUCGGCCUACAAAACACUACGAGGUGAUGCUCCCCUUGUUAUCGCCCAAGGCGGAUUUUCAGGGGUAUUUCCUGAUUCCAGCCAGGCCGCCUUUGCUUUCGCAUUGCUUGCCAGCGCACCUGAUACAAGCGUGUGGUGCGAUGUGCAACUCACAAAAGAUGGCGUUGGGAUUUGCCUUCGAGACAUAAAUAUGGCAAACUGCACCAAUGCUGCAACAGCCUACCCUGCGAAAAAGAAGAAGUAUGUCAUCGAUGGCGUGCCCAAAACUGGACACUUCUCUCUCGACUUCACCUAUUCUGAGGUCCAAAACACUUACUUAACACAGGGAUUUUAUUCUCGCACCGACAGGUUUGAUUCCAUAUAUAAUAUCUUUUCCGUGACAGACUUGCAGUCCUAUAUCAAGCCGCCUUCCGUUUGGCUGAAUGUUCAGCAUGACGCCUUCUAUUCGCAACAUGGUUUGAACAUGAGAAGAUACAUAGUUUCCAUCCUAAAGAGUGUCUCUGUGAAGUAUAUUUCAUCACCUGAGAUAGGUUUCCUCAAAAGCAUAUCUAAAAGAGUUCGCGGCAGAACAAAGCUUGUGUUUCGCUUUCCUGAUAACUUUCUGUCUGAUCCUUCUACAAACCAAACCUAUAGCUCACUGUCUAAGAACCUAACGUUUAUUAAGACAAUUGCUUCUGGUAUCAUGGUCCCCAAGAGCUACAUCUGGCCAGUGACGAAUGAUAACUAUCUGCUGCCUCCAACACCCUUUGUCCAAGAUGCCCACAGGGCAGGGUUAGAAAUAUAUGCAUCUGACUUCGCAAAUGAUAGGAUUAUUCCCUAUAACUACAGUUAUGAUCCCUUGCAAGAAUACCUAUCAUUUAUAAGUGAUGGUGGCUUCUCCGUGGAUGGUGUGUUAACAGACUACCCUAUUACUGCAUCCGAGGCUAUUGGCUGUUUUGCUAACUUGAAUGAAAGUAAGGCGGAUCAUGGGAAACCUUUAAUUAUUUCGCAUAAUGGUGCCAGUGGAGACUAUCCGGAUUGUACUGAUCUUGCCUACCAGAAUGCAAUUAAGGAUGGUGCGGACGUGAUUGACUGUGCCCUUCAAGUCACAAAAGAUGGAGUUCUUAUUUGCAUGAGUUCCAUCAACCUGCUCGAGACCACCAAUGUUCAGAGGACACCUUUCAGUACCCUUACAUCUGUCAUUCCUGAAAUUAAGAGUACAGCAGGGAUUUAUACAUUCAACCUUACUUGGAACAACAUUAGCGAUAGUUCUUUGAAACCCAAGAUAUCUAGCCCAUUGAGUAGCUACUAUCUUGUAAGAAACCCGAGAUACACAAACAAUGGGAAGUUUGUCAAGUUCUCAGAUUUUCUGGAAUAUGGAAAGGAUCAGGAUUUGUCUGGCAUCAUGAUCAUUAUCGAGAAUGCUGCAUUUAUAGCGAAAUCUUUAGGAGUUGAUGUUCUCGAGUCCUUAACCACUGCCUUAAAUGAUGCUGGCUAUAAUAAUCAAACGACCAAGGAAGUCAUGAUCCAGUCAACAGAUAGCGCUGUUCUUGUCAAAUUGAAGCAGCAGAAAGCAAAAUACAAGCUUGUUUACACUCUCCCGCAAGGCAUUGGGGAUGCUUCUCCUUCCUCACUAGCCGAUGUCAAGGAGUUUGCCGAGGCUGUGGUCGUUGACAGGAAUUCCUUUUUUGCAAUAAGCUUGCAAUUUAUCAUCAACCAAACCAGCCUGGUGAAAGACUUGCGGUCCGCAGGGCUAACGGUAUAUGCGCAGGUGUUCCGCAAUGAGUUCCUAUCACAACCUUGGGACUUCUUCUCGGAUGAAACAGUGGAAAUCAAUAGCUAUGCCCAGUCGCUUAAAGUCGAUGGCUUAAUUACCGACUUCCCCAAGACAGUGAGGAGAUACAAGAGGAAUUCUUGUACAGGAAAGGACAAGCCCGCCUACAUGGAGACCGUUGAUGUCGGCGGCCUCGUGCAGCUACUCCAGAGAAAUGCCGCUCCUGAGGCCCAGCCGCCAGCGGUGGCACCGAUGCCAGAAUUGAACGAAACAGAGGUGCAGCAGCCGCCAUUCCCCCCUGUCGCGCCUAAGAAUGCACCUCCUGGUGCCGCCGCACCUCCCGGUUCAUCGCCAUCUGAUGCUCACACGACGGCUGUAAGCACCUGCAUUCUGCUGGUAGCGGCCUGUGCAGCUCUGCUGCUUUGAGCAGCAGACCAUGAGGCUGUGUGCCAGUAGGUUAAGUUACCGGAGGAGCCGUUAGACUUGCGCAGGCAAGCUAUUAUCUUGCUAUUUUGUGCAAUAUAUACACACAGUUACAUCGGGUGUUUGUUUCUGUAGCUAUUCCGGCACAUUGGUGUAUUUGAUCUAUCAAUUGAAUUGAAGAGGUUCGGUUCUAUCACACUAGCCAGCGCAGGUGCUCGAUAUUUCAUACUACUACAUUGCUGAGUGCUGACCGGUGGGAAGAUGCUAUCUACCAUGUUGUGUAUAGAAGAACUGUACUUCUUAGCUGAAAAGAAGUGUUGCGCUCUGAAAAUUGAGGAAGUGUGCAUGUUUCUAGAUUCAGGUGUAAGGUCUCGGCACUGUUAAUAAGUGUGAUGUCUUAUUUUAUCGCCAAAGAAACAUGUGUGCAGCACAAGACAGAUAAUGGUAACCAAAAAAGGCGAAAAGGAUGAACGAGUGGAGGCAAGUAGAGGCAGGUAUCAGAUUACUGGGCGCUAGUCUGUAAAAUCAGCACGAGAUACCCAGAGAAAACCAGCCAGGAUUGUGCAGGACACAAGCGAAAGCCGAACAAGAUAUUCAGAUAAAACCACAGAAAUCCGUGUCACCUAGAAACCAUUAGGUUCGAGCAAAGCGUCUCAAAACAGAUUUAUCUUUUUCUCCGAAAAGGAGGUUGUUGUACCUGACCCUACGAACGGAAUACGAUUAGCGCAUCAUCCUAGCAUGAUAUUCUCU